UGCCAGCCGCCGCGGUAAUACGGAGGGGGUUAGCGUUGUUCGGAAUUACUGGGCGUAAAGCGCACGUAGGCGGAUUAGAAAGUAUGGGGUGAAAUCCCGGGGCUCAACCCCGGAACUGCCUCAUAAACUCCUAGUCUAGAGAUCGAGAGAGGUGAGUGGAAUUCCAAGUGUAGAGGUGAAAUUCGUAGAUAUUUGGAGGAACACCAGUGGCGAAGGCGGCUCACUGGCUCGAUACUGACGCUGAGGUGCGAAAGUGUGGGGAGCAAACAGGAUUAGAUA
This 279-nucleotide ribosomal RNA is filed under the name uncultured bacterium. RNAcentral's name for it is "partial 16S ribosomal RNA". It matches the Rfam family "Bacterial small subunit ribosomal RNA", at positions 506 to 784 of the family's 1533-position model. The record is from RNAcentral.